This 461-nucleotide ribosomal RNA is filed under the name uncultured bacterium. RNAcentral describes it as "partial 16S ribosomal RNA". It matches the Rfam family "Bacterial small subunit ribosomal RNA", at positions 338 to 795 of the family's 1533-position model. The record is from RNAcentral.
CCUACGGGAGGCAGCAGUGAGGAAUAUUGGUCAAUGGGCGGGAGCCUGAACCAGCCAAGUCGCGUGAGGGAAGACGGUCCUAUGGAUUGUAAACCUCUUUAGGCGGGGAGCAAUGCCGGGCACGUGUGCCCGGAGGAGGAGUACCCGCCGAAUAAGCAUCGGCUAACUUCGUGCCAGCAGCCGCGGUAAUACGGAGGAUGCGAGCGUUGUCCGGAUUUACGGGGGGUAAAGGGCGUGUAGCCGGGAAGGCAAGUCAGAUGUGAAAUCUGGAGGCUCAACCCCCAAAUUGCAUUUGAAACUGUUUUUCUUGAGUACUGGAGAGGUAGACGGAAUUCCUUGUGUAGCGGUGAAAUGCGUAGAUAUAAGGAGGAACACCAGUGGCGAAGGCGGUCUGCUGGACAGCAACUGACGGUGAGGCGCGAAAGCGUGGGGAGCAAACAGGAUUAGAUACCCUUGUAGUC